UGGGGAAUUUUGGACAAUGGGGGCAACCCUGAUCCAGCAAUGCCGCGUGUGUGAAGAAGGCCUUCGGGUUGUAAAGCACUUUUGUCCGGAAAGAAAACGCCGUGGUUAAUACCCGUGGCGGAUGACGGUACCGGAAGAAUAAGCACCGGCUAACUACGUGCCAGCAGCCGCGGUAAUACGUAGGGUGCAAGCGUUAAUCGGAAUUACUGGGCGUAAAGCGUGCGCAGGCGGUCCGCUAAGACAGAUGUGAAAUCCCCGGGCUUAACCUGGGAACUGCAUUUGUGACUGGUGGGCUAGAGUAUGGCAGAGGGGGGUAGAAUUCCACGUGUAGCAGUGAAAUGCGUAGAGAUGUGGAGGAAUACCGAUGGCGAAGGCAGCCCCCUGGGCCAAUACUGACGCUCAUGCACGAAAGCGUGGGGAGCAAACAGGAUUAGAUACCCUGGUAGUCCACGCCCUAAACGAUGUCAACUAGUUGUCGGGUCUUCAUUGACUUGGUAACGUAGCUAACGCGUGAAGUUGACCGCCUGGGGAGUACGGUCGCAAGAUUAAAACUUAAAUGAAUUGACGGGGUCAUAGCUGUUUCC
RNAcentral lists this ribosomal RNA (584 nucleotides) under uncultured bacterium. Its description in RNAcentral is "partial 16S ribosomal RNA". It matches the Rfam family "Bacterial small subunit ribosomal RNA", at positions 355 to 937 of the family's 1533-position model. The record is from RNAcentral.